GUGAUCCACCCAUCUUGGCCUCCAAAUUGUCACUUUCUAAUUCAUAUUUUCUGUAGAAGGCUGUAAGUCCCUUGAGGACAUGGUCAGUGAAAUCAGUGAUUAAUAUUUGUAGCCCUCUGGGGUGUAGUGCCUUACCCUAGCACUGUCUGUUUGAUGAAAGAAUAUAAUUUACUUACAACCAAUGUAAGCACACUUGGGAAGUUUGAACUGAUUCUUUUAGAGAAAGUCAUUUGUUACAUUUCUUUUUUUUUUUUUUUUUUUUGACGGAGUCUUGCUCUGUUGCCCAGGCUGGAGUGCAAUGGUGAGAUCUCUGCUCACUGCAAGCUCCGCCUCCUGGAUUCACACCAUUCUCCUGCCUCAGCCUCCUGAGUAGUUGGGACUAUAGGUGCCUGCCACCAUGCCCAGCUAAUUUUUUUGUAUUUUUAGUAGAGAUGGGGUUUCACCGUGUUAGCCAGGAUAGUCUCAAUCUCCUGACCAUCUGUUUGUUGGUACCACUCUGUUUAUUUCUGUAUGUAAUUCAAGGUGGAAAUUUGCCAAUACGUAGUUAUUUGCACAAUUUAACUCAGCAGGAUUAUUACACAGCUACAGCUAUUUCUUUAUUUAUAUUUUUGGAAAAGGGAUAGAAUCUUCACUUUGUUGUAUCUUCACUUUGUUUCUCUUUGGACCCUACCCGUGAGACACUAAUAAAUUAUAAUCCAUGUUACUGCUUAUUCUUUCCGUGUAAAGUACUUUUCAAGUUGAUCAUAAGCUGAGGUAGGUUGAUCAUAAUAUCAAAAUGUUAUUUUUAUGAAAACUCAUAGAAUCAACUUUGGAAGCCCAGUAUGCUUACGAUGGCUGAUUGACAACACCUAUGAAGAGCAAGGUAUUGGAGAACUAGUUUGGCAAGUGUUGAUGACCCUUUAUCAUUUCUCUUUUAGAAAAGCAACAAAAUAUUUCUCCCCUAGUGAGAGAAAGAGGUCCUCAGAGAGUAGCAGCUCACAUAACUGGGACCAGAGGAAGAAGCAACACAUUGUCUUCUCCAAACUCCAAGAAUGAAAAGGCUCUGGGCCGCAAAAUAAACUCCUGGGAAUCAUCAAGGAGUGGGCAUUCAUUCCUGAGCAACUUGCACUUGAGGAAUGGUGAACUGGUCAUCCAUGAAAAAGGGUUUUACUACAUCUAUUCCCAAACAUACUUUCGAUUUCAGGAGGAAAUAAAAGAAAACACAAAGAACGACAAACAAAUGGUCCAAUAUAUUUACAAAUACACAAGUUAUCCUGACCCUAUAUUGUUGAUGAAAAGUGCUAGAAAUAGUUGUUGGUCUAAAGAUGCAGAAUAUGGACUCUAUUCCAUCUAUCAAGGGGGAAUAUUUGAGCUUAAGGAAAAUGACAGAAUUUUUGUUUCUGUAACAAAUGAGCACUUGAUAGACAUGGACCAUGAAGCCAGUUUUUUUGGGGCCUUUUUAGUUGGCUAACUGACCUGGAAAGAAAAAGCAAUAACCUCAAAGUGACUAUUCAGUUUUCAGGAUGAUACACUAUGAAGAUGUUUCAAAAAAUCUGACCAAAACAAACAAACAGAAAACAGAAAACAAA
Molecule: long non-coding RNA, 1568 nt
Filed under: Homo sapiens (human)
Lineage: Eukaryota; Metazoa; Chordata; Mammalia; Primates; Hominidae
Description: HSALNT0064185
Source: RNAcentral